Molecule: ribosomal RNA, 563 nt
Filed under: uncultured bacterium
Lineage: Bacteria
Description: bacterial SSU rRNA
Rfam family: Bacterial small subunit ribosomal RNA
Source: RNAcentral
CCUACGGGAGGCAGCAGUAGGGAAUUUUCCACAAUGGGCGAAAGCCUGAUGGAGCAAUACCGCGUGCAGGAUGAAGGCCUUCGGGUCGUAAACUGCUUUUAUGUGCGAAGAAUUUGACGGUAACACAUGAAUAAGGAUCGGCUAACUACGUGCCAGCAGCCGCGGUCAUACGUAGGAUCCAAGCGUUAUCCGGAAUUACUGGGCGUAAAGAGUUGCGUAGGUGGCAUUAUAAGUGGAGCGUGAAAGCGUGCGGCUCAACCGCAUUAUUGCGUUCCAAACUGUGAAGCUUGAGUAUGGGAGAGGUAGAUGGAAUUUCUAGUGUAGGAGUGAAAUCCGUAGAUAUUAGAAGGAACACCGAUGGCGUAGGCAGUCUACUGGCCCAUUACUGACACUAAGGCACGAAAGCGUGGGGAGCAAACGGGAUUAGAUACCCCGGUAGUCCACGCUGUAAACUAUGGAUGCUAGCUGUGACACACAUCGACCUGUGUCGUAGCGAAGUUAACGCGUUAAGCAUCCCGCCUGGGGAGUACGGUCGCAAGAUCAAAACUCAAAGGAAUUGACGG